UGCCCCUAUCCGCGUGGUAUAGAAUGCAAGUCGAGCGAGAUUUCUUUCUGUAGCAAUACAGAAGGAAGUCUAGCGGCGAAAGGGGGCGUAACACGUGGGCAAUCUACCAAGAAGUGGGGGAUAGCCCGGCGAAAGCCGAAUUAAUACCGCAUGUGAUGAGGGAAGACGUCUCUCCGAAAUCGAAGGUGGCGCAAGCUACCGCUUUUUGUGGGGCCCGCGGCCUAUCAGCUUGUUGGUGAGGUAACGGCUCACCAAGGCUAUGACGGGUAGCUGGUCUGAGAGGACGACCAGUCACACUGGGACUGAGACACGGCCCAGACACCUACGGGUGGCAGCAGUCGAGAAUUUUUGACAAUGGGGGAAACCCUGAUCGAGCGACGCCGCGUGGAGGAUGAAGGUCUUCGGGUUGUAAACUCCUGUCAUUUGGGAACAAGGCGUACGUAUUAACUGUGCGUGCGUUGAUAGUACCAGAAGAGGAAGAGACGGCUAACUCUGUGCCAGCAGCCGCGGUAAUACAGAGGUCUCAAGCGUUGUUCGGAUUCAUUGGGCGUAAAGGGUGUGUAGGUGGCGCGCUAAGUCGGGUGUGAAAUUUCGGAGCUUAACUCCGAAGCUGCAUUCGAUACUGGCGUGCUUGAGGACUGGAGAGGAGACUGGAAUUUACGGUGUAGCAGUGAAAUGCGUAGAUAUCGUAAGGAAGACCAGUGGCGAAGGCGGGUCUCUGGACAGUUCCUGACACUGAGACACGAAGGCCAGGGGAGCAAACGGGAUUAGAUACCCCGGUAGUCCUGGCAGUAAACGGUGCACGUUUGGUGUGGGAGGAUUCGACCCCUUCUGCGCCGGAGCCAACGCAUUAAACGUGCCGCCUGGGGAGUACGGUCGCAGAUUAGACUCAAAGAAAUGACGGGGGCCCGCACAGCGGUGGAGAAUGUGCUCACUCGAUGCCAACGCCGAGAAUCUUACCAGGUCCUUGAACAUCAUGU
RNAcentral lists this ribosomal RNA (980 nucleotides) under uncultured bacterium. RNAcentral describes it as "bacterial SSU rRNA". It matches the Rfam family "Bacterial small subunit ribosomal RNA", at positions 31 to 993 of the family's 1533-position model. The record is from RNAcentral.